RNAcentral lists this ribosomal RNA (468 nucleotides) under uncultured bacterium. Its description in RNAcentral is "partial 16S ribosomal RNA". It matches the Rfam family "Bacterial small subunit ribosomal RNA", at positions 28 to 507 of the family's 1533-position model. The record is from RNAcentral.
GACGAACGCUGGCGGCGUGCCUAACACAUGCAAGUCGAGCGGACAGGCCCUGCUUUUGUGGGUUGCACGUUUGCCGAGCGCGUGUGUAACACACGUGUAACCUCCCCUUGACUUUCUGGUAACUUCAGGAAACUCGGGCUCUUACAGCAUAUGAGCUCCUGCUGCGCAUUGGUGGAUGGUAAGUUUCGGCGGUUGUGGCUGGAAUCGCUGCUUAUCAGCUGGUUGGUGGGGUAGUUGCUUACCAAGCCUUUGAAGGGUAGCCGGCCUGAGAGGGUGACCGGCGACAUUGGGACUGAGAUACGGACCAGACGCCUAUGGGAGGCAGUAGGCGGGAAUAUUGCAGAACGACGGGAAGCCAGAGACAGCGAUGCCGCGUGCGUGAAGACGGCCUUCGAGUUGUAAACCGAUGUCGACUGUGACGAAGCGGGAGUGACGGUAAUGGGUAAAGAAGCACCGGCUAACUACGUG